CGUACGUCAUUUCAGCAAAAAAAUAUUACAUUUCCAUAUUCUCAGAAAUAAAUAGUAGUUUUGCUGAAACGUAAUGUAUUUCAAUGUAAAUUAGGAUAAACUACAUGAAAACAAAAGACUUUAUCUAACCUUCCGACGCUCAGGAUAUGUUACUCGUUUUUUGUAAUACUUUUCGGUUAAAAUACUGUUAUAUUAGUGAUAUUCUAUUCAUACUGUGCUUGAUAUAAUACAUUCACGGAAAUGUAAUAUUUUUGCAACUACAAUGCUGAUGUCAACACAAGCGUGGUUACAGCGAGACUGACUGACUGAGGGAACGCGGGGUGGCGCAGGCGAUGUGUGUGGUGUGCAGUGUGUGGUGUCGCGCGCGAUUUGAAUAAUGUAUAUUCCUUUGAAUGUAUAUUCCUCCAGCGGCAAUCCGUGUAAGUUAAUCCCGUGUAUGUUAAGGGCCGACUGUACUUGCAAAUAACUGAUUGAGACUCUUGUUACAUAAACAAAAGAAAUAAAAACUUUUAAGUUACUUUAGGCAUAUAAAUACUUUGUUGGUGCUCAUAACAAUGUUUAUUCUCAGAGGAUAGUUGAGAGUUUUAUCAGUGAAAGUGUGAUCCCUUCUCAGGGUUGUAAUGAGAAUCCUCACCAGCCAUGGUUUUGCCUGAAUAGAACCUGUCUGGUGUGCACUGUGCAUAUAUGGCUGGUUUAGUAUUUAUAUGAAUCGGUUUUAAUCUUAUAUAUUUAUUAGCUGUUCCAUAUAUUGUUGCUGGCUUCUGUACUUCUUUCCUGGGUCUACUUCAUGGUCAUGUACUGUCCCGAGGCUAAUCAUUUUACGUGAAACUUGCACACAUUCAAGAUCGUCGCCAGGUCAUUUUAGAAGUUGGCAACACGGGCUCAGAAGAGUCAAGCAUGUUCGUGAAGUGGCGUGUGUGACUCGACAGUAAUGAGAUAAACGGCACUAAUUUGUAGGCGGUAUGAAGUACAGGACACUUGUUUUAUAAUGUUAUUAAUAUUUACACUAUUUCCAAUCAUUAUUACUACUCCAGUAUUGAUCACGAUACUAGCCUCGUACUUGGGGGUUGGAAACUCGUGGUGAAGAGAGUAGAGUUCAUGGGUGAUAUGACUACAUCACAAAAGCCGAGAAGAGACUGGAAGGCUCCCAUGUGUGAGAGAGUGAAAGAUAAAUACUUACUUGGCAACAUAAUCUAACCAGGCCUGCACUUUUUAUUAAAAUAGGCCCGCCAAUGAUCAAAACGUCAUAUGAUGCGACUCAAAGCUCUACAGACGCAUGACAUAUGAUGUGACCCAAAGCCUAGGAGUUAAAGGAGGCUAAGACAAAAACCGAAAACAGUAGACAUGGUAUCAAAGUUUAAAAGGAGUUUGAAAUUACAUAUAUCUGAAAUAAGUUUAGUCAAUAAACCAGAGAACUUUCAGAUGGUUUCCAAUCUUUGCAUCUAAUGAUAACUUUGGCAGAGUUUUGGGUACUGUUACCAGUAUAGGGAGGUCUGCCCCUUUGGUUAUAUUUCUGCUACAGUAUUCAGUGUGUCAUGUUACAAAAUAUUGGCAUAAGUGAAAAUUGCUGUUAUGUUUGCCUACAAAAGAUUAUAUUUUCGCUUCUCUCUACACAAAAUGAGAUUUCAUGUGGAGUAAAGAUACUGUACCUUAUACUGUACCGUACAGUUCUAUACAGUACUUCUUUUAUUCAGUGGAAUAUAUAGUCACUUAUACAAGUUUUAUUUCACCCACAUGACACUCAAGCAAAAAACAAGUUGUUACUUCUCUAGUUUUCCUAUAAGAAUGUAAAUGCUGUAUGGUAAAAAAUUAAAUGUUUUACAUUUCUACUUCAAGGUGGACAAUCAAAUAUGACAAGAUCUUAUCUUAACAAGAAGUAUUCUAAAAUGAUGUACUGUAUACCAAAGAAGAAUGAUUUAACACAAUUAUAAAAAAAGGACAAUGUUAUGUUUAACCAAAUAUUUUACCAAACAAAAAACUGUUUACUUCAAAAACUUGGAAAAUAAAAUAAUUUUUUUAAAUACAAAAUGCAGAUGCAGGCACUGUACUGUAAAAGGAUGGUAAAAAUUAUUUAUAUCAGGUAAGAAAUGUUGUAGUACUUGAAGAGUGUCAUUCUUAGAAGAAAUAUUAAUAAUUAUCCAAAAGGAGAAUGUUUCCUACACAAGAAAUACUGUACUAGUUUAAAAUUACAUGGUCUCAUUUUAUAAUGGAACCAAAUACAUACUCAUGAAACUAUUAUUUCUAAAGACUAAUUUUAUAGCUGGAAGAGGCAGCUGUAGAAAUCCUUCAACUAUAAAUUAUAUUCUCAGGAAUUCAACAUGAAAUAUUCUUACAAAUAUUGUUUAGUUAUCGUAUUUUGUACUACGUAAUUAACUUGUUCCAUUCUGAAAAAUAGAGUAACUGUAUAGUUUCACUUCUGAUGAGACCAUAGUCAUAUUCUUUGUAAAUUAUAAACUAGGCAGUACACUGGCUGCAUCAGUAUGAGGGUCAGUGUUGUCAUUAUUUAUGUCAUUACUGUAGAUGUUUGUCUUAAAGCUUUUGUAAUUAUGAAAAUCUUGAUGGAAAUUAAAGGCAGCUUCUGCCAUAAUUUAUAAAAAGUAUUAUCAUUGCAUUAUCACUGUAAUGUAUUGACCGAGAAUACAUACAUGCUUAACCUUUCAAGUGCAGCUGUUCCAAGAUGUCUUAGGUAAAUAUAGCAACCUUCAUACUGUACAGUAUUUGUGUACCUACAUAUGUAUAUUUUCUGUUCUUUACCUUAUGUCAUCCCCUUUUUUAUUUUGUCUUAUGUUUUUCUUUUCUCUCUCUGCACAGUUAUUCCAUUUUCCCCUUUCUUACUUUUGUUUUCUCCCUCAAGAACUAACUAAAAUACCUGUAUAGCUUCUUUUUUUUUCUCACUCAAGAACUAAGUAAAAUGUACUUUUUGCCACCUUAAAAUUAACCAAUAUACUGUUAGUCUAAUUUAGAUAUUUAUGUACAGUAGCUAAAACAACUAUCUGUGCAGGUGGGGGUCGAUAUGCUCCAAAUUAUACGUGUGACUAGUGACAACCUUCAUAUACCAAAUUUUAUCGUCCAUGAUCUCAUAUUGUUUCCCACAAAGUAUGCACAGAUAGUUGUUUUAGCUACUGGACAUGUAUAUACAGUAUAGAUUUAUGUAUAUGUAUGUAUUGAUUUACAGUAUAUACAUGCUAUCAUCUAUUAUUUGAUGUACAGUAUCUUCUUGUAUAAAAUAAACUGUUUCCCACACUUAGAGCAAGGUGUCACAUGCAGAAUCUUGACAAACUAGAGUCUGACCAAACAUCUCACUAACACAGUGAAAUUUCAGAUAUGUGACAUUAGCCCUCAUGUGCAUUGGUCUUAACUCAAACUGAAGUGAAACAUUUGGCUUCUGUAGAUACCUUAAGAAUGUACAGUAACUGGAAUUUGAAUCAUGGGGUCUUCAGCUGAUUAGUUUACACAGUGAUGUUGGUGGGUAGGUCAGACCAACUGUAGCUAAACAAGAAAUAGCAAGUUCCCAGUAUAUUCAGAACUUAAGGUUGAACUGGACCAGGAAUUUGAUAUACGAGUAUGGAAGUAGCCUGAAAAUGAAUCAUUAAUGGUGCUCUAGAGGCUAUUUCUCUUGUCCUUGAUCCAUCCAUACCUUAAGUUUCUCAUAGUUACUGUAUUACUGAGAAGGUCCACCAGGUUCACUUCCUUCACUCUUUUCUGAGUCAUCUCCAUGUACAUAAGAGAUAGCUCAUGAAAUAAUAUUUUGGUGCAUUUACUAUAUGAUCUGUUACAACAGUUGCUAAUUCUCAAAUGAAAAUCCUUUGUAAAUGGAAAGUUGAAGUCUAUAAAGACUUUAAGGGCAAACCUCAGGGUAAAAUUAGGAACUUAUAUGCUUCUCUAAGCCUUGGUGAGAAUAUCCUUGUCUUAAGGACAUAUAUUAUGUAUUCAGUGGAAGCUGGAAAUACCUGAUCCUUAUGGGGUUGAAAGGUGAUGUUCAUCUGAUCAGUCAAUUGUUUUGCAGUUGUUUAUAAGAUAAUUCUAUCGACAGUAAACCCUUCACACUUCCGGACCUCUCAGAUCCGGAUUUCGGUUGGUUUGGAUGUGGGAAAUUCAUAUCUGGUCUCUCAGUCCGUACGCCUGUCACCUUUACUCUGCCGCUGCUAAAAUGGACCCUGUCUGCAUCUCCCACCAUUACUCACCGCGUGCCGUUUAUAGAGUAAUACAUUGACAUAAUUAUUAUUGUUCUUGUUAUUGCUGUAUUAUUAUUUAAUACUUUCAUUACUGUUAUAAUUAAUACCAUAUUAUUAUUGUUAUUAUCAUUAAUGCACCUUCAUCACACAGUCUAUUCGAACAUUUGCAACAUCCUGACGCCCUUUCCCCCCUAAUUGUCUGGAAGUGCGAGGGUUUACUGUACUUCUUAGUUUAACUGCUUUGACAACAGAAAGUUGGAUACAUUUAGGUCAUGUGUUCUUUUUAACAAGAUCUCAACGAGGCAGAGAAUGUAACUAACUGGUUAAUUGUGUGUAAGGGAUUCCAUGUCCUUUGUAUUAUCUAUUUAUUUACAGAAUAAAUUUUUAUACAACUAAAUUAUACUUCAAA
Molecule: long non-coding RNA, 4584 nt
Filed under: Homarus americanus (American lobster)
Lineage: Eukaryota; Metazoa; Arthropoda; Malacostraca; Decapoda; Nephropidae
Description: uncharacterized LOC121858585
Source: RNAcentral